GACUCCUGAAACAGUCAAACAGAGCUCUGUCAUUUUACAACACAGAAGAAAAAUGGGUUUUAAAAUUAGUUCCGCUGUGAUUUUUUUAAUAUUUGUUUCUAAUUGUAGGUGCCCAUAGACGUAUGAAAAGAGCAUACUAUCGUGAAGUAGGAUUAUAGGAAUGGCAAUUAAAAUACUUAAUUCUGAGGUGUAGAUUAUACAAGGCAAUCACAUUUCUUGUCAGCUGUGUAUAUUCCUCUGCCUCUCUCUUUCUGGAUUUAGGCAGUUCGCUCUAGAGCUGUCUGAAUUACAAAGUACAGGGCAACAUUAUCAGAAAGGAAUCACCUGCAAAUGAGUUCAUCACCUCCCUGUGCUCCACAACAUCCUAUUCUCAAAUCCCUGUCAAUCCCCAUGCUGACCAAUUAAGCACCCAUGGGAGUUGCUGCCGCUCUACUGUGUAGAAAUCAUCUCCACGACUGCAGAUAAAAGGCCAGAGAGAUCUAAUCUGCUUCCACUAAAGAGCACCACG
Mauremys reevesii (Reeves's turtle) is the source of this 508-nucleotide long non-coding RNA. RefSeq lists it as uncharacterized. The transcript is spliced from 4 exons. The record is from RefSeq and is a predicted model, not a curated record. Lineage: Eukaryota; Metazoa; Chordata; Testudines; Geoemydidae.